UGCGCAGGCGGUUUUGUAAGACAGGCGUGAAAUCCCCGGGCUUAACCUGGGAACUGCGUUUGUGACUGCAAGGCUAGAGUGUGGCAGAGGGGGGUAGAAUUCCACGUGUAGCAGUGAAAUGCGUAGAGAUGUGGAGGAAUACCGAUGGCGAAGGCAGCCCCCUGGGUCAACACUGACGCUCAUGCACGAAAGCGUGGGGAGCAAACAGGAUUAGAUACCCUGGUAGUCCACGCCCUAAACGAUGUCACUAGGUGUUGGGGGAGGAGACUUCCUUAGUACCGCAGCUAACGCGUGAAGUUGACCGCCUGGGGAGUACGGCCGCAAGGUUGAA
This 331-nucleotide ribosomal RNA is filed under the name uncultured bacterium. RNAcentral describes it as "bacterial SSU rRNA". It matches the Rfam family "Bacterial small subunit ribosomal RNA", at positions 568 to 898 of the family's 1533-position model. The record is from RNAcentral.